Molecule: ribosomal RNA, 301 nt
Filed under: uncultured bacterium
Lineage: Bacteria
Description: partial 16S ribosomal RNA
Rfam family: Bacterial small subunit ribosomal RNA
Source: RNAcentral
CAGCCGCCACGGGAAUACGUAGGUGGCAAGCGUUGUUCGGAAUUAUUGGGCGUAAAGGGCUCGCAGGCGGUUUCUUAAGUCUGAUGUGAAAGCCCCCGGCUCAACCGGGGAGGGUCAUUGGAAACUGGGAAACUUGAGUGCAGAAGAGGAGAGUGGAAUUCCACGUGUAGCGGUGAAAUGCGUAGAGAUGUGGAGGAACACCAGUGGCGAAGGCGACUCUCUGGUCUGUAACUGACGCUGAGGAGCGAAAGCGUGGGGAGCGAACAGGAUUAGAGACCCCAGUAGUCCCUGUCUCUUAUAC